AUUGAACGCUGGCGGCAGGCCUAACACAUGCAAGUCGAACGAGUGGCGGACGGGUGAGUAAUGUCUGGGACACUGCCCGAUGGAGGGGGAUAACUACUGGAAACGGUAGCUAAUACCGCAUACCAUCGGAUGUGCCCAGAUGGGAUUAGCGAGUAGGUGGGGUAAAGGCUGACCUAGGCGACGAUCCCUAGCUGGGCUGAGAGGAGGACACGCCACACUGGAACUGAGACACGGGCCAGACUCAUACGGGAGGCAGCAGGGGGGAAGAUUUCGCAAUGGGCGCAAGCCUGAGGCAGCAAGGCCGCGUGUGUGAAGAAGGCCUUCGGGGUGUAAAGUACUUUUAGCGAGGAGGCGUUACUCGCAGAAGAAGCACCGGCUAACUCCGUGCCAGCAGCCGCGGUAAUAC
This 406-nucleotide ribosomal RNA is filed under the name uncultured bacterium. RNAcentral describes it as "partial 16S ribosomal RNA". It matches the Rfam family "Bacterial small subunit ribosomal RNA", at positions 29 to 526 of the family's 1533-position model. The record is from RNAcentral.